RNAcentral lists this ribosomal RNA (809 nucleotides) under uncultured bacterium. RNAcentral describes it as "bacterial SSU rRNA". It matches the Rfam family "Bacterial small subunit ribosomal RNA", at positions 8 to 796 of the family's 1533-position model. The record is from RNAcentral.
AGAGUUUGAUCCUGGCUCAGAACGAACGCUGGCGGCGUGGAUAAGACAUGCAAGUCGAACGGGACAUGUUUUGUAGCAAUACAGGAUAUGUUUAGUGGCGUAAGGGUGCGUAACACGUGGGCAAUCUGCCGGGAAAUGGGGGAUAGCUCGCCGAAAGGCGAAUUAAUACCGCAUGUGGCCAGGGAGGACAUCCUCCUGUAGCUAAAGUCGGGGCAACCUGACGUUUCCUGAUGAGCCCGCGGCCUAUCAGCUAGUUGGUAAGGUAAUGGCUUACCAAGGCUAUGACGGGUAGCUGGUCUGAGAGGACGACCAGCCACACUGGAACUGAGACACGGUCCAGACACCUACGGGUGGCAGCAGUCGAGAAUUUUUCUCAAUGGGGGAAACCCUGAAGGAGCGACGCCGCGUGGAGGAUGAAGGUUUUCGGAUUGUAAACUCCUGUCAUGAGGGAGCAAUGCUGCGGGGAGUAACUGCCUUGUAGUUGAUAGUACCUCAAGAGGAAGGGACGGCUAACUCUGUGCCAGCAGCCGCGGUAAUACAGAGGUCCCAAGCGUUGUUCGGAUUCAUUGGGCGUAAAGGGUGCGUAGGCGGCGCCGUAAGUCGGAUGUGAAAUCUCGGGGCUCAACCCCGAAACUGCAUUCGAUACUGCGGUGCUAGAGGACUCUAGAGGAAACUGGAAUUCACGGUGUAGCAGUGAAAUGCGUAGAUAUCGUGAGGAAGACCAGUGGCGAAGGCGGGUUUCUGGAGAGUUCCUGACGCUGAGGCACGAAGGCCAGGGGAGCAAACGGGAUUAGAUACCCCCGUAGUCC